GUUGGUAGAGCUCAGUUGGUAGAGCAUUGUGCUAAGAACACAAAGGUCAUGGGUUCAAAGCAAGAACUGACA
Danionella cerebrum is the source of this 72-nucleotide non-coding RNA. NCBI's taxonomy places the organism in Eukaryota, Metazoa, Chordata, Actinopteri, Cypriniformes, Danionidae. The record is from the annotation of a GenBank genome assembly.